CGGGGCGUGGCGCAGUUUGGUUUAGCGCACUAGCAUGGGGGGCUAGGGGUCGGCCGUUCGAAUCGGCUCGCCCCGA
RNAcentral lists this transfer RNA (76 nucleotides) under bacterium. RNAcentral's name for it is "tRNA-Pro". It matches the Rfam family "tRNA". Rfam says of the family: Transfer RNA (tRNA) molecules are approximately 80 nucleotides in length. Their secondary structure includes four short double-helical elements and three loops (D, anti-codon, and T loops). Further hydrogen bonds mediate the characteristic L-shaped molecular structure. tRNAs have two regions of fundamental functional importance: the anti-codon, which is responsible for specific mRNA codon recognition, and the 3' end, to which the tRNAs corresponding amino acid is attached (by aminoacyl-tRNA synthetases). tRNAs cope with the degeneracy of the genetic code in two manners: having more than one tRNA (with a specific anti-codon) for a particular amino acid; and 'wobble' base-pairing, i.e. permitting non-standard base-pairing at the 3rd anti-codon position. The record is from RNAcentral.